Molecule: ribosomal RNA, 467 nt
Filed under: Pycnonotus sinensis
Lineage: Eukaryota; Metazoa; Chordata; Aves; Passeriformes; Pycnonotidae
Description: partial 16S ribosomal RNA
Rfam family: Bacterial large subunit ribosomal RNA
Source: RNAcentral
UGUCCCGUAAAUCGGGACUAGUAUGAAUGGCUAAACGAGGUCUUAACUGUCUCUUACAGGCAAUCAGUGAAAUUGAUCUCCCCGUGCAAAAGCAGGGAUAACUACAUAAGACGAGAAGACCCUGUGGAACUUCAAAAACAGCAACCACCCCAACAUACAUACACACCCACCCCGGGCUCACUUAACCCACGGGCGACUGGUCUGCAUUUUUUCGGUUGGGGCGACCUUGGAGCAAAACAAAACCUCCAAACACUAGACCAUCCCUCUAGACUGAGAGCAACUCCUCAACGUACUAAUAGUAACCAGACCCAAUAUAAUUGAUCGAUGGACCAAGCUACCCCAGGGAUAACAGCGCAAUCUCCUCCAAGAGUCCAUAUCGACGGGGAGGUUUACGACCUCGAUGUUGGAUCAGGACAUCCUAGUGGUGCAGCAGCUACUAAGGGUUAAUUUGUUCAACGAUUAACAGU